UUGACGGGCCCGCACAAGCAGCGGAGCGUGUGGUUUAAUUCGAUGUUACACGAAGAACCUUACCAGGGUUUGACAUGCAAGUGGUAGGAACCGAAAGGUGACCGACCUUCGGGGAGCUUGCACAGGUGCUGCAUGGCUGUCGUCAGCUCGUGUCGUGAGAUGUUCGGUUAAGUCCGCUAACGAGCGCAACCCUCGCUGUGUGUUAUAUGUGUCACACGGGACUGCCGGUCUUAAGCCGGAGGAAGGUGGGAUGAUGUCAAGUCAGCAUGCCCCUUAUGUUCUGGGCUACACACGUGCUACAAUGGCCGGUACAGACGGACGCAAAGCCGCGAGGUGGAGCAAAUCCUAAAAAGCCGGUCUCAGUUCGGAUUGCAGGCUGCAAUUCGCCUGCAUGAAGUCGGAAUCGCUAGUAAUCGCAGGUCAGCAUACUGCGGUGAAUACGUUCCCGGGCCUU
RNAcentral lists this ribosomal RNA (454 nucleotides) under uncultured Longilinea sp. RNAcentral describes it as "bacterial SSU rRNA". It matches the Rfam family "Bacterial small subunit ribosomal RNA", at positions 917 to 1381 of the family's 1533-position model. The record is from RNAcentral. Lineage: Bacteria; Bacillati; Chloroflexota; Anaerolineae; Anaerolineales; Anaerolineaceae.